RNAcentral lists this non-coding RNA (28 nucleotides) under Mus musculus (house mouse). Lineage: Eukaryota; Metazoa; Chordata; Mammalia; Rodentia; Muridae. The record is from RNAcentral.
UGCUUGCUCAUUUUCUUGAAAGAGGUGA